UACGGGGGGAGCAAGCGUUGUUCGGAUUUACUGGGCGGAAAGGGCGCGUAGGCGGCGCAACAAGUCACUUGUGAAAUCUCCGGGCUUAACCCGGAAAGGUCAGCCGAUACUGCGGGGCUAGAGUGCAGAAGGGGCAACUGGAAUUCUCGGUGUAGCGGUGAAAUGCGUAGAUAUCGAGAGGAACACCUGCGGCGAAGGCGGGUUGCUGGGCUGACACUGACGCUGAGGCGCGAAAGCUAGGGGAGCGAACGGG
This 253-nucleotide ribosomal RNA is filed under the name uncultured bacterium. RNAcentral's name for it is "partial 16S ribosomal RNA". It matches the Rfam family "Bacterial small subunit ribosomal RNA", at positions 524 to 776 of the family's 1533-position model. The record is from RNAcentral.